Molecule: ribosomal RNA, 480 nt
Filed under: uncultured bacterium
Lineage: Bacteria
Description: bacterial SSU rRNA
Rfam family: Bacterial small subunit ribosomal RNA
Source: RNAcentral
CCUAAUACAUGCAAGUCGAGCGGAGUUAGAGAAGCUUGCUUCUCUAACUUAGCGGCGGACGGGUGAGUAACACGUGGGCAAUCUGCCCGUAAGACUGGGAUAACUCCGGGAAACCGGGGACGUAAUACCGGAUAAUCCUGACUCUCUCCUGAGAGUCAGUUGAAAGAUGGUUUCGGCUAUCACUUACGGAUGAGCCCGCGGCGCAUUAGCUAGUUGGUAGGGUAAUGGCCUACCAAGGCGACGAUGCGUAGCCGACCUGAGAGGGUGAUCGGCCACACUGGGACUGAGACACGGCCCAGACUCCUACGGGAGGGCAGCAGUAGGGAAUCUUCCGCAAUGGACGAAAGUCUGACGGAGCAACGCCGCGUGAGUGAAGAAGGUUUUCGGAUCGUAAAACUCUGUUGUUAGGGAAGAACACGUACGAGAGUAACUGCUCGUACCUUGACGGUACCUAACCAGAAAGCCACGGCUAACUACGUG